Molecule: ribosomal RNA, 395 nt
Filed under: uncultured bacterium
Lineage: Bacteria
Description: bacterial SSU rRNA
Rfam family: Bacterial small subunit ribosomal RNA
Source: RNAcentral
CCGCGUGUAUGAAGAAGGCCUUCGGGUUGUAAAGUACUUUCAGCGGGGAGGAAGGUGUUGUGGUUAAUAACCGCAGCAAUUGACGUUACCCGCAGAAGAAGCACCGGCUAACUCCGUGCCAGCAGCCGCGGUAAUACGGAGGGUGCAAGCGUUAAUCGGAAUUACUGGGCGUAAAGCGCACGCAGGCGGUCUGUCAAGUCGGAUGUGAAAUCCCCGGGCUCAACCUGGGAACUGCAUUCGAAACUGGCAGGCUAGAGUCUUGUAGAGGGGGGUAGAAUUCCAGGUGUAGCGGUGAAAUGCGUAGAGAUCUGGAGGAAUACCGGUGGCGAAGGCGGCCCCCUGGACAAAGACUGACGCUCAGGUGCGAAAGCGUGGGGAGCAAACAGGAUUAGAUA